GGCGUGCCUAAUACAUGCAAGUGGGACGCAAGGGAACACACUGUGCUUGCACACCGUGUUUUCUUGAGUCGCGAACGGGUGAGUAACGCGUAGGUAACCUGCCUAUUAGCGGGGAUAACUAUUGGAAACGAUAGCUAAUACCGCAUAAUAUUAAUUAUUGCAUGAUAAUUGAUUGAAAGAUGCAAGCGCAUCACUAGUAGAUGGACCUGCGUUGUAUUAGCUAGUUGGUAAGGUAAGAGCUUACCAAGGCGACGAUACAUAGCCGACCUGAGAGGGUGAUCGGCCACACUGGGACUGAGACACGGCCCAGACUCCUACGGGAGGCAGCAGUAGGGAAUCUUCGGCAAUGGACGAAAGUCUGACCGAGCAACGCCGCGUGAGUGAAGAAGGUUUUCGGAUCGUAAAGCUCUGUUGUAAGUCAAGAACGUGUGUGAGAGUGGAAAGUUCACACAGUGACGGUAGCUUACCAGAAAGGGACGGCUAACUAC
Molecule: ribosomal RNA, 488 nt
Filed under: uncultured bacterium
Lineage: Bacteria
Description: bacterial SSU rRNA
Rfam family: Bacterial small subunit ribosomal RNA
Source: RNAcentral